UUAAAGAGAUACCGGGUGUCGGGCACUUCCUCCUCCGGCUGUUCUCCUUCACAGCUGACAGUCCCCCCCGCACCGCACAGGCGGUAUCUCGCUUCGUGUGCAAAAAAGCUCAUC
Faecalibacterium sp. CAG:82 is the source of this 114-nucleotide small RNA. It matches the Rfam family "IMPDH RNA". NCBI's taxonomy places the organism in Bacteria, Bacillati, Bacillota, Clostridia, Eubacteriales, Oscillospiraceae. The record is from Rfam.